This 953-nucleotide ribosomal RNA is filed under the name Staphylococcus cohnii. RNAcentral describes it as "bacterial SSU rRNA". It matches the Rfam family "Bacterial small subunit ribosomal RNA", at positions 70 to 1004 of the family's 1533-position model. Lineage: Bacteria; Bacillati; Bacillota; Bacilli; Caryophanales; Staphylococcaceae. The record is from RNAcentral.
CAGAUAAGGAGCUUGCUCCUUUGACGUUAGCGGCGGACGGGUGAGUAACACGUGGGUAACCUACCUAUAAGACUGGAAUAACUCCGGGAAACCGGGGCUAAUGCCGGAUAACAUUUAGAACCGCAUGGUUCUAAAGUGAAAGAUGGUUUUGCUAUCACUUAUAGAUGGACCCGCGCCGUAUUAGCUAGUUGGUAAGGUAACGGCUUACCAAGGCAACGAUACGUAGCCGACCUGAGAGGGUGAUCGGCCACACUGGAACUGAGACACGGUCCAGACUCCUACGGGAGGCAGCAGUAGGGAAUCUUCCGCAAUGGGCGAAAGCCUGACGGAGCAACGCCGCGUGAGUGAUGAAGGUCUUCGGAUCGUAAAACUCUGUUAUUAGGGAAGAACAAAUGUGUAAGUAACUGUGCACGUCUUGACGGUACCUAAUCAGAAAGCCACGGCUAACUACGUGCCAGCAGCCGCGGUAAUACGUAGGUGGCAAGCGUUAUCCGGAAUUAUUGGGCGUAAAGCGCGCGUAGGCGGUUUCUUAAGUCUGAUGUGAAAGCCCACGGCUCAACCGUGGAGGGUCAUUGGAAACUGGGAAACUUGAGUGCAGAAGAGGAAAGUGGAAUUCCAUGUGUAGCGGUGAAAUGCGCAGAGAUAUGGAGGAACACCAGUGGCGAAGGCGACUUUCUGGUCUGUAACUGACGCUGAUGUGCGAAAGCGUGGGGAUCAAACAGGAUUAGAUACCCUGGUAGUCCACGCCGUAAACGAUGAGUGCUAAGUGUUAGGGGGUUUCCGCCCCUUAGUGCUGCAGCUAACGCAUUAAGCACUCCGCCUGGGGAGUACGACCGCAAGGUUGAAACUCAAAGGAAUUGACGGGGACCCGCACAAGCGGUGGAGCAUGUGGGUUUAAUUCGAAGCAACGCGAAGAACCUUACCAAAUCUUGACAUCCUUUGACAACUCUAGA